RNAcentral lists this long non-coding RNA (1114 nucleotides) under Monodelphis domestica (gray short-tailed opossum). Its description in RNAcentral is "lncRNA (ENSMODG00000048140.1)". Lineage: Eukaryota; Metazoa; Chordata; Mammalia; Didelphimorphia; Didelphidae. The record is from RNAcentral.
CCCAGAACAGCUAGAUUUUUCUCUUAGUCUAUAAUCUUUGAGAAAAAAGGUAUUCUUUCUAGUGGAUCCUCAGGGGACAACUCUUGAGUUCAGGCCUAAAUCAUUUCCCAAAUUAUAGCACAAACCAAAAAGUUUUUAUUCUUGUAGCAUAGCAGCCUUUCUGGCAAAGUAUUUAAAGCAGCUGGGAUCAUCCUGUGGGAUAGAAUGUUGUUUUUGAUUCAGGGACUGAGUUAUGCCUUAAAGAGAGUACAUUUCCCUUCCCCAGGAAAAGUCUCACAUGAGGCCAAAUGUGCAUAGAUUAGCUCAGAUGCCUGAUGUGUGAAUUUUUGAGAGCCAUCCGCGUUAGAGAUAGUAUAGCAGCGGGACUUUUAGCUGCCACUGCUUUGUGGUUGCUACAUCCUCUAUUCACCAUAUAUGAGAGAUCAUCCUGGGAUUAAGACUAGAAUUUUCUCCAGGUAGCAAGGCCUAAUGAAUACAGUGCUCUCUUCAAAACCAGACUGACCUGGGUUCAAGUCCUGCCACUGAAAUAUAUUGACUUUGUGACCCUACAUGAAGAAGCAGAGGCACAGAGAGCUUAAGCUACGUGCUCAGGGGUGAAUGACUAGUCUCUGAUGGGGUAUUUGAAUCUGCAUCUUCCCAUCCCCAAGACCAAUGUUUUAUCCACUCUGCCACAUGUGUGAUGAAAGCUCGCAAGGAAAUAGAUGUACCUUGGUAACUUGGAAAAGCAAAAGCUCUGAGUCCUCCCUCUUAGCACCAGGCUGCUACAUUUGCUACAAUGGCUCCCUAUUACCUGUGGAUUUCUAAGGUAUGUAAGAGAAAUGUAAACUUUUUCUUCUCUAUUGUCUUUGGUUCUAGUCCCACACUGGCUGUAUUCACCUGAUUGUUAGGUAUCUAUAACUUAUGUCCCACUUCCUUUUAAUAUUUUAAUACCAAUUUACUUUUACAAAAGGGUUUACUACAAAAAUAUUGUUGUUCAACCUUCUUUUUUUUUCCCCCCUCCAGAAGGUUAAUGAGGCCAUGAAUUGACUUGUAGGGAAUUGAAUUUAAGUGAGGCAGAGUUGUACAGUGAUUAGCCUUUUUCCUUCUCUCAGUCAUCAAAUUCAAAUUGUAAGAC